UUUAUUAUGCAUAUAUUGCACACUGAAAUUCGAUAUUGAAAUAUCAACAAUUAAUACGUGUUUAUUUGCUUUGUCAAUCUCCAAUAUGCACGAUUUGUUUUGCUACACGAUGUUCCUUCUGCGGAUUAAGCUAGAUUAAUACUGUCGAUCAGAUCAACUCGACCAAUCACGUUCAAGACAGAUUAAGCGAUCGGGAGACUGGUCUAACUCAAUCGACAAGAAUAUUCGGGGUGGUCUACCUUGGUCGUCAUCGAUCUGACUUUCUACCCGAGAGUUUUUGACCCGUCAAAAAUAAUCGAGUAAGGAUUGAGAAGAAAGUUACUCGAGAAGAGAUCAAGAAUACGUCGGGUAGUAGUCGAAUUGAUCGGGAAGGGAUCGUGUAGAGGUCAAGUUUGGUCGGAAUAAAAAUAUUUUACCGAUCAGUACUCGAUCAUCUCGACCUUUGCUCGACUUAUAUCUGAUCAUUUCCCGAUCAACGCCAACCUGUUUGAUAUGUUGUUCAGAUUGACUCGAUCAAUGCCCGAUCGCUUCAUGAACACUGCGACUUCUAUAUUUUUCCUAUCCCAGGCCAACUCGACCAAUACCCGAUCUCUACACGACACCACUCUUCGAUCUCUACUCGGCCAUACACGAGUUCAUAUGACCGCUACGCGAUUCUCUAAUAGUGUUUGUAGAUCUAAUUGACUCUUAUAAAUUUUCCUCCGCAAAUACAAAUUGUCACUACUUAUUUUUAACAGUACACAAAUUUCUUCAUGUACAGUACGUGUCUAAACUUUUGCAAGGAGGGAUGCAAUUUUAAAAGAUUACAAAAGAGGAUUGUUCAUAUAUGAAAUUAAUUGU
Molecule: long non-coding RNA, 840 nt
Filed under: Mytilus galloprovincialis (Mediterranean mussel)
Lineage: Eukaryota; Metazoa; Mollusca; Bivalvia; Mytilida; Mytilidae
Source: RNAcentral